CGCCAACAAUUAGUUUAUGGAAAAGGUAUUCUAGAGAAGAAGUUCACAAGUAGAAAAUUUCAUGUCUUCGUCGUGGAUGGUGAAUUAUAGCCUAAAUCAAUUUCUUGUUGUUGUUGUUGAAGAUCCUCGUCUCCCUUCAACCUUGGAAUAAACAAAAAGAUUAUUAAUGUUCAAAGUAAUUUUAUUGACAACAAACACAGAAUCAAACUUUGGGCAAUGCAUUGACACUCACUUCCAAAUUCAAACAGUCACGUGAUUUGCAUAUGUCGUAAGAACAAACUAAAGUGUUUGUUGGACCACUGAGAAUUGCAUGUGAAUCGGCAUCGUUAUCUCCUAUAUCAUUGAUAACCUAAUGAUAAGGCUCCUCUAUAUCUUGACAUACCUCCACAUGUUCAUGGUGGUCAUCCACAUCAAGCUCCUAUGGAGAACUUGCAAGCAUGCCUC
This 444-nucleotide long non-coding RNA is filed under the name Cicer arietinum (chickpea). RNAcentral's name for it is "long non-coding RNA (CARI_LNC001198)". The record is from RNAcentral. Lineage: Eukaryota; Viridiplantae; Streptophyta; Magnoliopsida; Fabales; Fabaceae.